Molecule: unclassified non-coding RNA, 282 nt
Filed under: Hevea brasiliensis (rubber tree)
Lineage: Eukaryota; Viridiplantae; Streptophyta; Magnoliopsida; Malpighiales; Euphorbiaceae
Source: RNAcentral
AGCUUAUAAAACGUGACCGGGAAGUUUCUUACUCCAUGAAAUACACUAUACAAACCAACAACAGAACCUUUGCAUAAUUUCAAAGCUGAUGUAGAAGCGACAUUCUUGAACACCUUAUGCAAACGCAUUCCAAUUUCUUUUAUUACAUCGUCUGAAUAAAAAAAUAAGAUGUGAACAACUUCUAUAGACAAGAGAUUCUCUAUGAUCAUAUCCUUUGCCAAUGGAGCACCAUAUUUCAAGACCUUGAGAUUCGGGCAAGAAAUCUUGACGAUACAAUUGUUG